UGACUGGACCAGAUUUCAAUGCACACCCCCUACUUCCCCAGUGAAAGUUGUGAUGAGCUGCCUUCUUAAACUGCUGCGUUCCAUGUCGUGUAGGCAGACCCAGAGAGCUAUUCGGGAGGGACUUCCGGGAUUUUGAUGCAGCAACAGGGAGGGAAUGGAUGUGUAGAUCCACAUAUUCAUAAAAUGGAGUUCCAAGUAAGAUUGGUGUGCAACGUGAAGGGGAUCUUGCGAAUAUUUUUAAUCAAACUUUUCAGAUAUGUUAAAGCACAUCCGAAGCAGGUGGGAUUUGCAUCCAGACCUUCUUCUGUAGAGCACUUCAGUGGUUGUGAAGAAUAUAAGGAAGUCCUGAGGUCAUGAGAGGAUCCCGUGGGCCUUAUUAACUACUUUCCAAGUAUUAUUAUGAACAGAUGAUCUUUGGAAUGACUACAGCGCUCCUUUGAAUCAAGAACUUGAGAUGCUGCCAGACCUGAUGACCAUUAACUGGCUGGCCCCCAAGCACUGGACUUCCCUCCUAGAUUUCUCUGAUUCUAACCUUCUAGUCAGUCCUUAAAAUCUACCUUUUAUACCAAACAAUUGAUCAUAUAGCCA
This is a non-coding RNA of Chiloscyllium plagiosum (whitespotted bambooshark), 588 nucleotides long. NCBI's taxonomy places the organism in Eukaryota, Metazoa, Chordata, Chondrichthyes, Orectolobiformes, Hemiscylliidae. The record is from RefSeq and is a predicted model, not a curated record.